GAUGAACGCUGGCGGCGUGCCUAAUACAUGCAAGUCGAGCGAACAGACGAGGAGCUUGCUCCUCUGACGUUAGCGGCGGACGGGUGAGUAACACGUGGAUAGCCUACCUAUAAGACUGGGAUAACUUCGGGAAACCGGAGCUAAUACCGGAUAAUAUAUUGAACCGCAUGGUUCAAUAGUGAAAGACGGUUUUGCUGUCACUUAUAGAUGGAUCCGCGCCGCAUUAGCUAGUUGGUAAGGUAACGGCUUACCAAGGCAACGAUGCGUAGCCGACCUGAGAGGGUGAUCGGCCACACUGGAACUGAGACACGGUCCAGACUCCUACGGGAGGCAGCAGUAGGGAAUCUUCCGCAAUGGGCGAAAGCCUGACGGAGCAACGCCGCGUGAGUGAUGAAGGUCUUCGGAUCGUAAAACUCUGUUAUUAGGGAAGAACAAAUGUGUAAGUGACUAUGCACGUCUUGACGGUACCUAAUCAGAAAGCCACGGCUAACUACGUG
This 497-nucleotide ribosomal RNA is filed under the name uncultured bacterium. RNAcentral's name for it is "partial 16S ribosomal RNA". It matches the Rfam family "Bacterial small subunit ribosomal RNA", at positions 28 to 507 of the family's 1533-position model. The record is from RNAcentral.